AGCAGUAUGGUGUAAGUCUGCAUGCGGGGUUCCUGUAAAUAGUACAUAGCAAAUCGCUAGGCAUGUAACCCCGAGGUCCUUGUUCGAACCAAGGUACUGCUC
This is a non-coding RNA of Mycena crocata, 102 nucleotides long. NCBI's taxonomy places the organism in Eukaryota, Fungi, Basidiomycota, Agaricomycetes, Agaricales, Mycenaceae. The record is from the annotation of a GenBank genome assembly.